UAAAUUAGAGAGAAAGAAAGAACAAAAAAAAAAAAAAAAAAGGGAAAGAAAGAGAGAGGGUUCGGCCAAGGUAUGGCCAAGCAUGGCCAUGGGAGAUUUGAUCAAGAAAAAUUAUUUCUUUCAAGCUUUUAUACUAAGUGGAAGGUUCUCUACAACGUGGAGUAUUCGUUGGAACAAGUGAAUCAUUCGUUUCGCAAAAAUGAGGUUCUAGCCGGGAAAAGGAACUAGUGCUAAGAUUAACAAGUUGGACGAAUAAGCGUAGCUAGUAAGGCGCGGCGCAGGUACACCCAGAUGAGCUGAGGCCCUUAUAGAAGAUGUUCCAGCGAAGUUGGCGAGCUCCAAUUAGCCCGGGAGUGUAGCCGAGUCAGUGUAUAUGUGCCAUGGUUUCCGAUUGCAGUUAGAGACUUUGCAGACAGAGUCGUGGGUAUAGAGCGUCAGCUUUGUAGACGGCUUCGCCUGUCAAUAUGUUAUUACGUUUCAUGUCACGCGUUCCAUAUGAUGAUACACUCUCCAAAAAAAAAAAAUU
Molecule: long non-coding RNA, 526 nt
Organism: Lycium barbarum (goji berry)
Lineage: Eukaryota; Viridiplantae; Streptophyta; Magnoliopsida; Solanales; Solanaceae
Exons: 3
Source: RefSeq, a predicted model, not a curated record